Molecule: long non-coding RNA, 878 nt
Organism: Lingula anatina
Lineage: Eukaryota; Metazoa; Brachiopoda; Lingulata; Lingulida; Lingulidae
Source: RefSeq, a predicted model, not a curated record
UCUUGGACAAUGUCGCGGUGGAUCUGAUCCCCAAACCCGCCGUGAUACUCUGGUCGAAUGGAGCCCAGAUUAAAUUAUGAUUUUAUACACAUAUUAAAUAUGCACAUGCAUGCACACAUACUAACAUAUGCACACAUACAUACGAACAGUGUUGCUCAAGCAAGCUGGUCUUAUACUACUAAAUCUGGUCUUCAUGAAAAUAAUUAAUUUUUUGAAUGAAUAGACUUUGAAUGAGUUUUCAAUUCUGUAUUUUUGCCCAAAUCCUAUUUGUACACAGAUAGUUCUUAUUCCAUAUUUUUGUCUUCAGGCGACAUAAAAGACAGAAAGAGUGUGUCAGAUGCUGAGAGCAUUAAAGAAAGAGUUGAUGUUAAAAACAUGACGGCUGCAACAGCAGACAUGAAGGAGAGAGGUUACGGCAGCAGGGGCAAUAGAAUAGGGAUCUAUUUAUUACACUGAUGGAAUGUGACUAUGAAUGUACACACACGCACACACACGUGCAUACACAUUCCUUAUGUUUUGCCAACACAGUUUGUGCUUUUUGUAAGUUUAAAAUGAUACUUGGCAAAUUUGUUAACUUUAAACAAUGGUAAAUAUUUUGAUGCAGUUUCAUACAUGAAAUAAGAUGCACUGACUGCUUAGAAGGUUAUUUAUUAUUGCAUAUUAGUAAGUAAUACUGUGUCAUAUAUUUCAGCUCCCAAGGACUGCUGCCAAUCAAGGUGGAGGAGGAUGUUACAUCUUUUCACAUCUUGCUUCAGAUGCAGGCCAAGAACAUAAAUGGGUCAUCAGUGCACAUCUAUUAUUAGCUCUGUGGCAGCCAGUUUGAACACUUCAGAAUAUCAUUUUCUUAAAAUACCUUUCUUUGAUUGCUACAAUAAAAU